GCCGGAGUGGCGAAAUGGCAGACGCGCCGGACUCAAAAUCCGGUUCGGGCAACCGAGUGCGGGUUCAAGUCCCGCCUCCGGCA
RNAcentral lists this transfer RNA (83 nucleotides) under Pseudomonadota bacterium. RNAcentral describes it as "tRNA-Leu". It matches the Rfam family "tRNA". From Rfam's summary of the family: Transfer RNA (tRNA) molecules are approximately 80 nucleotides in length. Their secondary structure includes four short double-helical elements and three loops (D, anti-codon, and T loops). The record is from RNAcentral. Lineage: Bacteria; Pseudomonadati; Pseudomonadota. RNAcentral also lists the same sequence under 2 other names.